This is a non-coding RNA of Lonchura striata (white-rumped munia), 370 nucleotides long. The record is from RefSeq and is a predicted model, not a curated record. Lineage: Eukaryota; Metazoa; Chordata; Aves; Passeriformes; Estrildidae.
AGCGAAUUGAGACGGCGCAAAUGGAGCAUUUUGGGGCGAGCGGGGAGGGAGCGCUGCCGCAGGGGCUCCAGGUAAGCCAGCUCAGUGAUUCACCCUGCUAUGAGAACUUUCCACGCUGCAAGAACCAGGUGGUGACUGGACCAAAAAUGGUGUUUCCCUCCAAAGAUGGCUCUGGCUGGUGAAUAUUCCUUUCUUCAGCUGGCCAAGUUGGUAGGUGGCUGUGCUAAUUAUCUGGCAUGCCACACAAGUCUUAAGAGGUCUUUUGUUUUAUUUUGGGUAAUAAUGAAACAUUCUCUUUGAUUAAUGUGUAUUAUGAGUUAAUUAAUGUUCAUUCAUUGUUGUAUUUUAAUAAAAGUGUGUAAAACAUCAA